AAUUUUGCGCAAUGGGGGAAACCCUGACGCAGCAACGCCGCGUGUGUGAUGAAGCUUUUCGGAGUGUAAAACACUGUCAGUGGGGACGAAACUUGACGGUACCCACAGAGGAAGCACCGGCUAACUCCGUGCCAGCAGCCGCGGUAAUACGGAGGGUGCAAGCGUUGUCCGGAAUCAUUGGGCGUAAAGCGUUCGUAGGCGGCAUAUUAAGUCUGGUGUUAAAGCCUGAGGCUCAACCUCAGUUCGGCACUGGAUACUGAUAAGCUAGAAUGGAGUAGAGGUAAGGGGAAUUCCUGGUGUAGCGGUGAAAUGCGUAGAUAUCAGGAGGAACAUCGGCGGCGAAAGCGCCUUGCUGGACUCUAAUUGACGCUGAGGAACGAAAGCCGGGGGAGCAAAUGGG
This 400-nucleotide ribosomal RNA is filed under the name uncultured bacterium. Its description in RNAcentral is "bacterial SSU rRNA". It matches the Rfam family "Bacterial small subunit ribosomal RNA", at positions 360 to 776 of the family's 1533-position model. The record is from RNAcentral.